UAUCAGUUGUAGGCCUACCCGGAUGUGUUUACUUCCUGUACAUUAGCGCGGGGUGAAGAGGUCCAAAGUUGAAAAGUUAACGGCAGGACACGUUUCAAUCAGCUUUGACAUGUCUGAAGUGAGCAACCAGCUGCCCAAAGACCCCAUAUCUGCAGUUGGAGUAAUCACUUCCCUCAGUAAGGCCCCUGAAGGCUACUAUGUUGUUGCACAAACAACAGAUGGCUCUGACGCCGACCUGUGGAAGGACGGCUUAUUCAAAUCCAAGGUCACUCGCUACCUUUGUUUCACCAGAAAGACUGGGGCUGACGUUGUUGUGGACAUGCAGCUGAUUGACAUUAAGGACGCGUUGCCAGAGGGCUUCACACCUGUGGAAGAAACAUUGGACACAAAGGAAACUGCCAUGAGGAAGAGGAGGCUCUGCGUGAAAAUCAUCCCUCGUGCGGCUGCUGUGACGGCUGUGUAUGACAUCCAGAUCGUUGCCAAGUCCAAGUACCAUCUUGUUAACUACACCAGUAUAGGUGAGAUCAACAGUAUGUUGAUAUGGUACCGAAUGGGUGACGCUCCUCAGCAUCAGUCGUCCCAGGAAACGUCCAGUGAAGUUGACAGUGCCGCUCCAGCCAACACAGUAAGGAAGACCCCGACCCGGCAGGACUCUGAGCCCCAGAGCAGUGGGAACUACACCAUGACUGCUCUGGACGACGUGCCCUUUGUCAUCGCUGAAAAGUUUUGUGACAAUCCCAAAGAGAUGCAGCAAGUCAAUUUAAUGGGCAUUACCAUCAAAUCCCUGGCAGAGAUCGAGGAGGAAUUUUACUACAACUUCAGCACAGAGCGGAGCAUCGCUGUGUGACCUUCCACGCUGCGGUCUCACCUUGCCAGACUGACACACAACGACUGAAACACUACUGACUGAAAGGAUCAUGACCGUGCUGAGUCGCAGUCAUGCAGGACGGAAAGAGCGGCCUCAUCCCACGCAAACAGGUCUCUGAUGUUCAUUUCCAGCAGAGGCAUCUCUCCAUCACAAAGUCCUUCAUGAGCAGCGUGCGGCACCAACGAGCAGAGCUUUGAGACGCAGGAGCCUUUCCCCCCGACACACGCCCACAUCAGAAGUGACUGCUCUCCUGAGUCAGGUCUUUAAGAGUAGAACAGAUCAGCUCUGUGAACACGUUAUUAGUGACUAUUAUAUUUGUUAUUUCUAUGUACACCUGUAUAGAGAAUUGUUUUGAAGGAACAGAAGAAAAAGUGGAAGUUGUUUUUCACUACUUUAAAAUGCGCAACCCUUAACUUACUAAUUAUCCAACAUUUCAUGCAUAUAUUUCUUUAAUUAGGUGUUUUUUUUCUUCUUUAACAAACUAAACAACACUUUGCUGCCAGAUCCAGAAGCAGAGUUUACACUUGGAUACCAGAACAUCACUUUCUUCUCACUCCAGCUCACAUGUGUCAUUUGCAACUAAUUAAACUGUCAGAAUCUAUUUGCACAUUUUUGCAGGUGUAAUUAGUAUUAGAAACUCAUUA
Molecule: RNA transcript, 1512 nt
Organism: Gymnodraco acuticeps
Lineage: Eukaryota; Metazoa; Chordata; Actinopteri; Perciformes; Bathydraconidae
Gene name: multivesicular body subunit 12B-like
Exons: 11
Source: RefSeq, a predicted model, not a curated record